GUAACAGUGUCACGCCUGCUUGCCUGCUACCAUGCUCUCCUUCAUGAUUCAUUGACUAAUCCUCUGGAACCAUGAGCCCCAAUGAACUCUUUCUUUUAUAUGUCACCUUCAUCAUGGAGUCUUCUCUCUGCAGUAGAAGACUAAGACAUACAUUUCAAUAUAUUCAGCCUUGAAGGGAGGUAGUUAGUGGAUGAGGCCAGGAAUGAAUAAAUGUGAAAAGAACUUUGCACAUAGUCUCCAAAGAUGCUGGAAGAUGCAGUUCAGUUAUUCACAAAACAUAGUGAAUUGACUGGACAUUCUCCACCCCACCCUGACACCAACUUCUGUCCUUCUUUCUACUCCUUAGGAUCUCUGCCUGUAAUAAAAUUUUGAUUUGUUUAAACAGUACAGAAAUAUUAUGUGGAUAUGGUUUUUGUUUUAAUCCCAGGUAUGAGAUAUAGGGCUGCUUCAGAUUGUCCACAGUAACUAACUAUGUUUCAUUCUCUGGCAGGGAUAUAAUUUUGCCAGCUGAAGAUCGUUUAUGUUUGAAACUCUGGGGCCUCUUCAGAGGGUAUGUAAAUGCCAGAGCCCCAAGAAAGGGGGCAGCUGCUGUUCCCUGUGUUGCUGCUCCCCUCUUGCUGCCCCCUUGGUCCUGCUGUUGCUGGCUGCUGGUUGGAGACCUGAUGACAAAGAUUAAACUUGCCACAAGGAACUCGAUACCCCUAUCAGCAGGAAGUAGUCUAACAGAUCUCCAUUGACAGAGACCCAGAUGCAACAUCAGCAAGAAUUUCUUCACUGGAUCCAUGAAAAGAAGCAUAUGACAUAAUCAAAGCAGAAACACCCAAAUAAAACAGAAGACACCUUUUUAAUGAACUUAGUUUUUUGUAGAAAAGCAUUGUUGAAACUUUACUGGCCUUGCUUGAUGACUUUAUUGACUUAUUUUAUGAUUGACACAGUUUUGUUUAAGAUAACAUAAAGCCAAUUAUCAAUG
Molecule: long non-coding RNA, 970 nt
Organism: Rattus norvegicus (Norway rat)
Lineage: Eukaryota; Metazoa; Chordata; Mammalia; Rodentia; Muridae
Source: RefSeq, a predicted model, not a curated record